CGAGGAAGGUCGGGAGAGUUUGACAAUGAUGAUUGUCAACACCGAAGGAGCAAGUUGCCAGCUGCCGAUUGGCAAUGAAUCUCUCAGGUACAAUAACCGCCAUUCUGAC
Non-coding RNA from Paenibacillus alvei DSM 29, 109 nucleotides. The record is from Rfam. Lineage: Bacteria; Bacillati; Bacillota; Bacilli; Caryophanales; Paenibacillaceae.